UCCGUUUCCACUCUCCCCAAAAGGGUUCUAAUAAACCCAUCUCAGUUCACAUGCUCAUCUUGAACCAAGCACUGUGGCCAGGUUGACGGGGUGCUUACAGAGCCGAUCUGGACUCCAUCCCUGUGCAAGUGGCACCGCUGUCUACCCAGUUGCUCAAGCCAGAUACCCAGUGGUCAUCCUGGAUGCCUCUGUCUCCCCAGCUAGAUGUUCAGAUCUAACCAAUUUUCAGCAGGUCACCCCUUCUUCUCAGCAGUGCUUGGGUGUCUCCCCCAGUCCAGAAACCUUCUCUCCAGAGAAAAAACCUCCAGUCUUUCCCAGGGUGGAUGACAGACAGCUGCCCAGCUACAUGGAAUAGACAAGUGGAUUUGAUUGCUUCUUAGAAGUUACAGGUCUUCCAGUUUACUGAAUGAACAAGUGCCACUUGUGGCCAGGAAACAUACAGCAAAGGGCUGGCUAGCCUGGACUGGGAGGGGUAACCCUGAGGAAAGCCUACGAUUAAGUCAAGACAAAAUUAUGACACCAAAAUAUAAAGUUCUGAGUCAGGAGAGAUGAAACUGAUGACAAACACAGGGACAAAGUUAUGGAAUAAAUAGUAACUUUGUUAGAGGGGGGAGAGAAUGCAGUAAGACUCAAGAUACAGAAUGGAUGCAGUAUUUGCAUUCUGCUGCUGGAGGGUCACACAUUUACAGUCGUCCCUCAGUGUCCGCACAGGAUCGGUUCCAGGGCCCCCGGCAGAUACCAAAAUCCACGGAUGCGCAAAUCCCUUAUUCCGCCCUCCGUAACCUCGGACAUGGAACCAAUGGAUGCGGAGGGCCGACUGUACUUUGCAG
Molecule: long non-coding RNA, 830 nt
Filed under: Equus caballus (horse)
Lineage: Eukaryota; Metazoa; Chordata; Mammalia; Perissodactyla; Equidae
Description: lncRNA (ENSECAG00000053289.1)
Source: RNAcentral